UUUGGUUACUUUUUGUCAUAAAUGUAAUGUUAGCCUUGUGAUUGGUGGGCUCUUAGUCUUCCCAACAAGGUGUUAUGGAUAAAGAAAGUACAUAUUAUCAUUGGAUGUGUUUAAUGAAUUGAAACCACCUAGGCUUGAAGAGUUUCAAAAUCACUUUUAGUCACAAAAAGAAAUUGAGCUUUUGAGACAAUUUUUGUAAUUGAAACCUUAGGCACUAAAAAUUUUCAUGAUCAACUUAUUGCGACAGAGUGCGGGCUUCCAAUAGCUUUUAUCAUGAGAAAAGCUCUUAUUAUUGCGGUGAGGGUUUAUUAUAAUCAAAGCAUAAAAUUUACUUCACAAAGUAAAUUGUGGGAUUACAUUGGGUGUGUUGUUGUUGUUGAAAGUAAGUUUAAUUGUGCUGUGAGUCCUUGACAGUCAAUGGGAAGCAACAUUCUAAUCUCUAUCAUGACGAGACAAACUAAAUUAACUUGCAGAGAUAUUUGACAGCUUACUGCUCAUUGGUGGGAAACCUUCCCUUGAAGCAUAGAUCACAGCAUAAUGACCCUCGUGAGAAAUAUAGGUAUAAAAAAGUCAAGCAUCCAUAGGAAAGAUGGAGAAUAGUUGCAUUAGUUGUGGUCCCAAAGAGUCUAUUGUAGUAGCUUAUAGCAGAAUCAGGUCACCAAGUUUCAAUGCAUAAUUUCCCAAACUCUGUGUCAAAAACAUAUGUUGCUUUUCUUCCAAAUUUCAUUGUUUGAUGGGGUAAGUUUCCAAACAACCACUUGAACAUGUUAAUGUAACUGAGCUUAUUAAUAAAUGGAAGGGAUUUAUUAGACUAGUAUGCUUGUACCAUAAAGAAGAUGUACAUGAACUUGACAAACACUCUGAUUUCUAUACGAGACGCAAAAAAGAAUCUAGCGGAGAGAAUUGAUAGCUUAGACGUGCAAGGACUUGAUACAAAAGCUAGCUAUUGCAAUUGAUCAAAUAUAUGAGUGUUGUAACUUUCUUUCGUUUGAUAAGUAUAAUAUGGAAUUAAAGAACUUUCCAGCUUGCGAUUGGCAUGGAAAGAUAUGACUUUUGCUUAUGUGUUUCUGGUUUAGUUCCACCUUGCAAUUGCACUGAAAAUUGUAAUACGUACUUGGAUUAAUAUGAUAUAUCUUUAUGGCUUAUCCAGUUUUAAUUGAGAUAGCUUGUACAUUAUGCAUGCACUAACUUCCUG
RNAcentral lists this long non-coding RNA (1195 nucleotides) under Nicotiana benthamiana. RNAcentral's name for it is "long non-coding RNA (NBEN_LNC002669)". Lineage: Eukaryota; Viridiplantae; Streptophyta; Magnoliopsida; Solanales; Solanaceae. The record is from RNAcentral.